CUACAUGAUGACAAAGGGCCUUUGGCCUGAAACUUAACCCAGCUCGUCGAACCCUCACAAAACAACGCAAGAGGUGUACUGAGAUAAACUUUGUUCUGAAAGC
This is a small nucleolar RNA of Beauveria bassiana D1-5, 103 nucleotides long. It matches the Rfam family "A. fumigatus snoRNA Afu_304". The record is from Rfam. NCBI's taxonomy places the organism in Eukaryota, Fungi, Ascomycota, Sordariomycetes, Hypocreales, Cordycipitaceae.